CAGCCGCCGCGGGAAUACGUAGGUCCCGAGCGUUGUCCGGAUUUAUUGGGCGUAAAGGGAGCGCAGGCGGUCAGGAAAGUCUGGAGUAAAAGGCUAUGGCUCAACCAUAGUGUGCUCUGGAAACUGUCUGGCUUGAGUGCAGAAGGGGAGAGUGGAAUUCCAUGUGUAGCGGUGAAAUGCGUAGAUAUAUGGAGGAACACCAGUGGCGAAAGCGGCUCUCUGGUCUGUCACUGACGCUGAGGCUCGAAAGCGUGGGUAGCGAACAGGAUUAGAUACCCCGGUAGUCCCUGUCUCUUAUACC
This 301-nucleotide ribosomal RNA is filed under the name uncultured bacterium. RNAcentral describes it as "partial 16S ribosomal RNA". It matches the Rfam family "Bacterial small subunit ribosomal RNA", at positions 509 to 808 of the family's 1533-position model. The record is from RNAcentral.